This 366-nucleotide ribosomal RNA is filed under the name Triticum aestivum (bread wheat). RNAcentral describes it as "partial small subunit ribosomal RNA". The record is from RNAcentral. Lineage: Eukaryota; Viridiplantae; Streptophyta; Magnoliopsida; Poales; Poaceae.
GAAUUUCAAUCACGAAAGGCAGACUCCGAAGAAGCUGUACUAUAUGACAACAACGAGUGGAAGUAUGAGGUGAAAGAGCCCGGAGGAACCACAAACGAUGGCCGCCAACACGGAGGCCGGGCUUUCAAGGUCUCCCUAACACGGUGUGAUUGCAGCUGCAUGAGGCUGUCUUUGCUUCAUCUCCCAUGCUCGCACUUGUUAAAUGCAUCCCGGGUUAGGAAUGUGGACGUCAAUCACCCUCUUACCAUGAGGGAGUCCGAGUUCUCAAUCAUGACGGUAAAGAAUACAUGGACUCCACGGUUCCAGCCAUACUUGGACCAAUCACAAUGGCCGGAGUAUCAUGGAGUUCAACUAUGGCCGGACCCG